This 394-nucleotide ribosomal RNA is filed under the name Globigerinoides sacculifer. RNAcentral describes it as "partial 18S ribosomal RNA". The record is from RNAcentral. Lineage: Eukaryota; Foraminifera; Rotaliida; Globigerinidae.
UAGUUUAACAAAACUAACAGCUCUUUCAAGAUUAUGUGGUAGGUGGUGCAUGGCCGUUCUUAGUUCGUGAAGUGAUUCGUUCGCCCAAUCGCAUUUCCAAACAACUAACAACUCAGAAUGCUGGGCAAUAGGACGUUUAAAGUGGCUCCUUACACCUUACAAAGGAAUGGCUGAUGAGAAACAACUCGAUCCGCUCAGCGUUCUAUUGGAAUGCAACGGACGUGAUUGCAAGCUUUUGUUUUGAGUUGCGGUUUUACUGAAAGACUCUACAAUCCGCAAACUUCAAUGAUCUGAAGUAGAAAACCUACAUGCUACAGUGAGAUAUUGUGGAUAAACUUAAGCGACCGCUCCAACAUUGUGUUUUUUUAAAACUGAUGAAGGUUGCGGCAAUAAC